Molecule: ribosomal RNA, 437 nt
Filed under: uncultured bacterium
Lineage: Bacteria
Description: partial 16S ribosomal RNA
Rfam family: Bacterial small subunit ribosomal RNA
Source: RNAcentral
ACGGGAGGCAGCAGUGGGGAAUAUUGGGCAGUGGGCGCAAGCCUGACCCAGCAACGCCGCGUGAGGGAAGAAGGUUUUCGGAUUGUAAACCUCUGUCCUUGGGGACGAAGGAAGUGACGGUACCCGAGGAGGAAGCCCCGGCUAACUACGUGCCAGCAGCCGCGGUAAUACGUAGGGGGCGAGCGUUGUCCGGAAUGACUGGGCGUAAAGGGCGUGUAGGCGGCCGGAUAAGUUUGGAGUGAAAGUCCUGCUUUCAAGGUGGGAAAUGCUUUGGAGACUGUCUGGCUUGAGUGCGGAAGAGGUAAGUGGAAUUCCCAGUGUAGCGGUGAAAUGCGUAGAGAUUGGGAGGAACACCAGUGGCGAAGGCGACUUACUGGGCCGUAACUGACGCUGAGGCGCGAAAGCGUGGGGAGCGAACAGGAUUAGAUACCCUGGUA